This 1843-nucleotide long non-coding RNA is filed under the name Triticum aestivum (bread wheat). RNAcentral describes it as "long non-coding RNA (TAES_LNC009116)". Lineage: Eukaryota; Viridiplantae; Streptophyta; Magnoliopsida; Poales; Poaceae. The record is from RNAcentral.
GUUAGAUUACCUCGACCCAUAUUUACUCAGGCUUGUGCAAUACUCAGAAAAUUUAGUGUACUGUAUGACAAUCAUGAAACCACACCGAACCAGGACCAUGGUCCAAAAUGUCACUAUCAUCUAUAAUCAAUUGAACACCGACACUAAAAAGGAUAGUGGUUCUAAAAUUCUAAAGAAAAUUUAGAUCCUCUACCAAAUCUGUCAAGACUCCCUGAAAAUAAACCUCCUCAAAGAAGAAGAUGAGGAGAGAAAUACACAGUUACAAGCCAAAGCUUGAUGACACAGCCAACAUUAGAUGCUUGCUCAAGGUUUCCAACAGAUUUUCCCCAGGAAGAGGAGCUCCCAGAACAAACUCAACAAGCUCAAGCAACGACGGCAGGUCCCUAUUACAGCAAGAGGAAAAAAAGAGGAAUUGGACAAUGAGAAGCAGCAAACAAUGUUGUGACACAGUAAGCUUGCAAAUAAACCACACUAUUAGAAAUAAUAUACCGCAAAGAAUGAGAAAAUGUGCAUGUAGAUUCGCUAAAGAAAGACUUUUCAAAAGCACAUUUACUCGUGGAGCUAUGCAAAAAAGAAAUUACCUUCCGAAAUGCCACUUAUGUUGCCAAAAGCUAAAAAAAGCAGCGAGCAACGGCACUAUUGUUAUCACAGCAUCAUAUAUUCUGCAAAUAUCUCAAAACAUAUACGUCCUAGAGUGAAUAGAAAAAAAAACUAUGACUGAAUGGACCAAUUGUUCCAGCACUCGACUCUAUAUCCCUUGCUGGGUGUUUGUGAUCUCUUAAUUGGGAGUUUAUCUAAAUGAUUGAAUUCUAAUCAGGGAUCAGGACUGGCUCUACUAUCUGCAGGCAAGAAUAUGAUGUUGGCUUGCUAAUGUUCAGGGGAAGAGAGUAGCACCUAACGCUAGAAUUAUGAUCGGUUAGCUCCCAAACUUGAGAAUCAUGUGUGCACUGGCAGCAACAAGAGGAUGUUUCAAAGGUAUGUUUACUGGGCAUGCCUAUUGACCAUAAUGCAAAUAAAGUUCUGCUUUGUCGCAGUUUGGACUACACAAUAAGUGCAGAAUGCAGCUCUUUAGUGUUUCUACAUGUCUUUAAUGGCACUGAUUAUCUUUCUAGUCAUUAGUUUACCAAGUAAAAUUUAUUAUUGACUUACUUUGGCUGAUAUAUUUGACACAACUAUCUGGAACUUUUCUGUUGUUCUUGAGCCGGCAACAUGACCAGCCUCGGCGACUUUGCUGAAGGCACCAUUGAACCAGCUUGUUCCAGUAGACACAUAUCAACAAGUAGAGGAAAUAAGGGCGAAGGAUCAGCCAUACUGAUAAAGGACAUCAUAUGUUACUCCAAAGGUGCAAAUAUGUUACAAAGGUCUACAUUUCAUCAAGAUACAUUAAAACUUGAUCACCAGAUGAUAUAAAACACACACAUAUUGAGUAAUUCAACUGUAGCAAAAGCUUGUAAAAGAAGAGACCCGUUGGUUUUCACAGCAGAGCCUGUAUCAUUUAGCUUGCGCUCUACAGCUAGCAAAUCAGCCAUUGUUUUGUCAGAAACAUGGAACCUUUAGAUUCAGAUCGGAUAAGUAACAACGACAGUCAACCAAAUAACACUUGUAACUAAAUUAUGCGGACUAACCUGAAACUGCUUUUUAGAUGAGCUAACCUGAAACUUUUAAGCGGGCCUGAAACUAACCUGAAAGGCAAGAGAUAUGGGGUGGAGCUGGUGGCGUGGAGGUUGGGCCUGAUCCUGCCUUGGAGGGACAAGACGACCGGACGAGCUCUCCUCACUCCGCCGCAGUCGGCGUCGUGCUUCUGCGACUCCGCUCCACGAGCGCGGCGUGGUGUGGCCGAUGU